Gasterosteus aculeatus aculeatus (three-spined stickleback) is the source of this 10758-nucleotide long non-coding RNA. The record is from Ensembl. NCBI's taxonomy places the organism in Eukaryota, Metazoa, Chordata, Actinopteri, Perciformes, Gasterosteidae.
CCCAGACCACCCCGGGACCCUUUGACUCUCCUCGUUUCUCCGUCCCUCCAACCAAAAACCUCUCAGCAGGUAAGACUCCGCUUCUUCCAGCUGGUGCUGCUUCAAAAAGUACUUCCCGGCUGUCCGUCUGCUCUUGUUUUUGUCUCCUGUUUCCUUUGAAGUGGUCUGUGUCUGUUCCCUCUGGCCUCGCCUCCUUCCCCGCAUGCAUCUGUCAAGUUUCCCCCCCGUGGCGCUUCUGUCCCCCUCAGAAAAGUGACACAGUUUGCAUGAGAUACAAUGAGUGAGGUCAGUGUAUUUUUCUUCAUCCUCUGAUGUCAACACCCCCCCCCUCUGUCUCUCUCUCUCUCUCUCUACCACACAAUCUCUUCAUCUUCUCUCCCUCUUGUCUUUUGUAAUCUCAUUCGCUCCGGCGUUGAGCGUGUGCAAAUUCUUUGUGGUAAAGUGAGUCAAGCAUUUUAAUUCUGCCCAGAGCGAGAGGACAUCGUGACGCGUUUCUGGUUACGGGAAAUUCAUCCCUAAUUCAUUUUUUGAAAAGUGUUUAUGUUAGUUGGUGAUGGCUAUUUAUAGGUGCUGACGCGUCAGGCACACGUGUUUCCGCUUCCACGACGCCCGGGGACAGAACACAGGACUGUCCACUGGCUCCAGAAAGCAUGACAUUGCACAAAGUGUAAUGACUUUAUGAGGCAUUGACUUGCCCGAUUGAAUCAAGCAAUCCUUCCAGCAGGACGAGUCCGGUAUUAACGUGGCCCAUAAAGCCGUCCUGGCAACAGCCAGCGAGGAACACAUCCGUACAGCAGAGGAGACACAAAAAACUGCUUCGUUCUCCAUCCGCACAUCCUGUACUUUACCAGGAAGGGAAAGCGGUGUGUGUGUGUGUGUGUGUGUGUGUGUGUGUGUGAGGGAGACGGAGAUACUGCUAAAUUGCUUGAGACAUCAAUACUGUCAGCCUGCAGCUUUUAAAGGCACUCUAUCAUAUCUGGAAAUUGGACCUUACAACAAUGUCAACAACUGAGGAAAUGCUUCCCAUUGCGCAAUGUUUUUUUUUUCUUUUAGAUGGAUAGAUUGAUACUUUAUUGAUCCCUGAUUGAUUUUGAUGGCUUCUCUGAGGAGUCGUGUGUUCACGUGUUUAAAUAUGAGUGGCUAAAGAUGGAUAUAAAAGGUUUUCAUUCCCAUGAUUAGUUCAUUUUGAUAUCUAAAUUUCUACAUUUAAACAUAAAAUUUCCAAUACGGUCUUCGAGUCUUCACAUAAUUCAAUAUAAAAAUAUAACAUUAUUAUAAUCCAUUAACUUACAGAAGGGACUUUGAUCUGUGACAAAGCAUCUUGGGAACGCGAGUUGUCGCUUUUAUUAAGAUGAUUUUGACGACUGAACAAAAAGAACAGGCAUCUACGACAGCUUCAAUCUAACUAUAACUUAUAUUUAAAAUGUGUAUCGUGUUUCUGACCAUUGAAACUGCUUUGAAGAGCGCAUUGAUGAUGUUGUUAGCGACGGUCACGUCUAAAUUCACGCAUUUAGAUUGUUGGUGUAUUAGUACGUGUCAAUCGGGUGUCUGUCUUUGUGAGCAAACAUGCAGCUGUUUGUCACAACUGUCAGCUGGCGGUGAGCUAGAAGCAAAUUAUUCACUAUGACUCUCACUUCAUCACAAACAGCAUGUUGAUAGGAGGCCUCUAAACCUAAAACAGAGUUUUGGCUGGAUGUAAUAUUAUAUUGCUUAUUGACCAAAAACAAAAUUUCAGUUGAAAAAUGUGCGUCUGCAAUGAGAGCAAACAUGGCAGAUUGAAUUCACCUGCAAGAUUUUGUUUGUAUUUUGUGAAUUAUGUAUUUUUAUGGACAAAAAGAUGAUUUUCGGACCUACUUGGGAUUUGCUUUUUGGUUAUAGCAAAAAUCUCUUUCUUACUCAUACUUCAAAAGCUUGGAAGCAUUCAUGUCAGUGACAUCUUAAUGUCUGACUCAUAUUAAUUUAAGAGAUAUUGCGGCCAAUUUAACAUGUGUGUUUUGUUUAAGCCGCUCUGCAGCCUUGUUUAAUGCACUUUCUGCGCGUCACCUCCUUCGGUGAAAGCGCUCAUAAGAAUGCAAACAUGAAACUCGUUGUAGAAUGACAUAUUUAUUGGCCUCGCUGGUGUGUUUUGCACAUUCCUCCCUAAGCCACAGCUUUAAGCUUAAAUCCGGCGGCAUGCGGAUGACAAUGAGUGUGCAUCGCCGUGUCGGACCAGUUUUACACUCGCGCAUCACAUAAUGACACAGAUGUCAGUCAGGGGCACUCGGUGUCGUGAAGGUUUGGAAAUAGAGCCGGGCGAAGCCAGCAGAGUGACAGCAUAUGAAAUGUGAGCGGACGGGCUUUUGUUUUUCAAAUAAUGUCACUGAGAAACAAUGAGGACGGGGCAGAAGAGGCCAUAUGGCACCCUGGCUUGUAGCCAUUCAAGUGAAUCCUCACCAAUCAUACAUUACACCACAUAUGCUUUAUGAACGUCUUGACGUUGGAUGUGUUCCUCUUUCCACUGCUGAUUCGGAACCAGCGAGCGGUAAAGCGACCGAUCACAUGAUCACAUGUAUCCAGCAUAUUCCUUCUGUGGCAGGCCGAUGCUCUGCAAGCAGCUGGCCCUUUGUGCCUCGGCCCAGUCGAGCCGUUCCGGAUCUCCCGCUGGCCUGGCACGGGCCGCAGAGUGCCGGGAGUUGCCUGGCUCAGUGUGAAAAAGCCCACUGACAUUGACAAGCCAGCGCCUUGGUGGCUCCCACGGAAUGAUGGAGGGCAAAUGGUCGCACGCGAAAGGCCUGCAGAGGAGGGAAGUGUGUUUGGUCUGUCAGGGAUGAUUGACUGGUUCCUUUUUCCGAAAACUAACCUUAAACGGGGUCACUACUGCUUACGAUAUAAACGCAUGCAGAAUACAUCAUUUUUAUUCGGUUACACCAAAGUAUGAAUUCAUAUUUUGUGGACUUGUAUUUGUGAUACACCAAUCUCGGUUAUUUAACCUUAAGUGUUAACACACAGUAGGAGAUUGUGUUGCUGCAACACAAAUGAAGUGUCAUUACAGCCACAUUGUGUUCAUAAAUGAUCUUGAUCAACUUGAAAACCAACAUGUUUUAAAUAAGAAUGUAUGGAACUCCUGUUAUUUUGGUAAACAAAGAACAUCACACACAAUAUUGGAUGAGUUAUAUCUAAACUGAAUUACAGAAAUCUGAUCUAUAUGCAGGUUUUAUUUUGGAUAGUAUAACUGAUGAAAAUUACACUUCAACAAGAACAUGCUUUUGUUUUCUUUGGGCUUUUAAUGAAUGACUUCAUAGAAAGAAAGAGUUAUUUGUUCAUAGGUUAAAUUCUGUUUAUUAAUAUCUCAUAUCAGGCACUGAACUUAUUCUUUUUUCAGUUUUUUUUUAUUUAAUUUAAUUUUGUAAAUGUGAUACAGAUGAUGUCAAAUAACUGUUGAUAUCUGGAGACACAUUGCUUAGCAUCUAUGUGUGUGUCUGUGGGUGUGUGUGUGUACACUAAUGCACAGAAAUCUGUCAGUCACAAAACACAGGCUCAGCUGAUCACACAAACAACCCACUGGAUGCUCCUGCUGCCGCUGACUUGUUUUUACCUCUCGCUCAUUUUGUUGGUUAGUAGUCUUCUGUCACUGAACUGGGCUGUAAACUUGAAAAACAAUCCAUCCUGUGUCAUAAUUCAUGACCGAAUGCGAGGGGUCGGGGCGGUGAUGCAGUGCCAGAGGCUGAGAUUAAACACGGCACCCUUUAGCGCCAUUGGAGAGAAUUAUGACCUUUGAAAUCUGAGCCUCUUUUUUUGUCUAUUUCCAAAGGUGUAAUUUAAGCUGGUGAAGGGCUGCGAGAUCAAUCAGAGAGGAUGCGGCGUCGGGAGAAAUGAAAGCGGCUGCGGGUUAAGAAGGGAAAGGUGGAGCAGGAACAGGGCUUCUGCCUUCCCCGCUGCUCUCUCUGGGUGGUGAAGUACGACCACAAAUAGGCGGUCCUCUGCCCCUUGUGUUGGUGCUAUUUUUAUACUCGCUAAUGCAGGGGGUUUGGAGAACCAGCUCAAGUGGUGAAGUGACAAGAACAUAUUAUUGUUGGCUUGGAGUUGAGAGAGCUGCAGUGAUCAAAGGAUUAAGCAUGCCCAUGGAGGCUGUGACAGAAUUACCCUUGCGUUGUUAAUUCUUUAUUACAUCAGGGCUCUGAUGGGCUCACUUUUUCCUCAGCGUGGAUACGACAUUUGUUGAAGUAUUUGUACAUUGGAUCAAUUUCUGGGUAUGGAUUGUGUUUUGGUUCAAGAUAUUAUAGUUAGUUUAGAGGUCCAACCUUCAUCCACAGGUUCACGUUUUUGCCUACUUUGUUUCUCCACAGUCGACCUUUUUCAGAAUUUUCUGUUCUUGGUAUAAAAAACAAGAAAGGUGGGACGGUUUCAGAGGAAUUCGGUCAAAACAGCGUGUUUUAGCGGGGCUUAUGAAAUCCAAGUGAAAUGAACGAGAGAAGGAUGAAAUGAAUGGCAUGCCGCAAUAAUUUGGCAGUAGUUUGACAUUUGAUGAGCACAAUGAAAAGAAGGGCAGAUAUGGAAUAUCAUCCUUUGACUUUGGAUGAUGCGAGUUAACUAUCCAUUCAUUUAAAUGAGUCGGAUUCUGAGUGGUUUGCAAAAAAAGAACAUUUGUACCUUGUACUAGACUAUCAAAUAUGUUGAAAAUACAGGGAUGACAUGGUAUUAGUGGGCACCCCAAAUUCUGCAGAUGAAUAAUAUGCAUAUACAUACAUACCUAUGUACAGUACUGGGAUCAUACCAAAUCACAUCUAAUCAAUCAGUACAUAGUAGAGAGAGAAGAUCAACAGUAAGAAACGGGGUGACAGUUGUUGGGAUCUCUGAUCCCCCCGAGUUGGUAGAUGAGAAGAAUCGCAGCACGUUAAUCAAUUAAAGUCAAAAAGGUAACAUUUAUAAAGAAGAGAAAAAGAUUACAUGAGCAAUUCUCCGCAGAUAUAUUUGGCUCUAAUUAUGGCUUGCAAGCAGGAGGUCAAAUACACCGACACGUAUUACAGAGUUUUCAUACACAUAGGAAGGCCAUCCUCAGUGCAGGUACGAGAAGCUGCAAACACAAGUUGAGAUAAGAACCACGGUUAAGAUGAGGGUAACGCACACAGUUCCUUUGUUCGAGCGUCUGUGUGAGCAAGUUAACUCCCUUCUUCAGACACAGCUGCAUGUGGAGACCGUACAUCUUUCUGCUUGUGCACAUCACUUCAUUAAAGACAAUAAUCACUCUUUCAGCAUAAGACUGUGUUAUAACAUAUUUUUAGUAUUACAUGCAUCUCACACAAUAAUCCCUUUUUUCAGAAUAAUGAGUAGACAUAUUCUUCAUGAUCCUUAUUGGUAUUUGAGCGCUUGUUCCUCAACCUUCUGUUAAGGGCUGCAUGGUGGUGUGCUGGCUAUUGCUAUAGAUUCCCCGGUUAUGGGGAGUUGGCAGGUUUUUCCCGUGUCAGCGCGGGUUUUCUCUUCCCACACUCCCUCCAGUUGAUCCGGUUGAUCUCUCUGGUGAAGUUGGUGUGAGUGUGAAUGGUUUUGCGUCUCUAUGUGUCAACCUGUGACUUGGUUUGUUGACCAGUCCAGAGCUGAUCGUGCAUUUGUAGCUGUCUGUAUGUCCAUGCUGUGACUUCCUUGACAACCGUUCAUGGAUUGGGCGUUCUGCUGAGGACCCAAAGGGUUGCAUUGUUGACUGUGAGCUCUUGAGAUCUGUGGGACACAUUUAUUAGUAGUGGGUUAUAUGCACACCGUGUGGUGAGAGGACCACUGUUGAGUGUGACAUUGCAGAUGAUGCGUGGGCUUUUGCUCUCGACGACGGUCUGCUCAACACACCCGACAUGGCGGGUGUGUUGAGCGGGACCAGAGGAGACGAACGCUCAUCGUUGUUUGGAUGCGCGCUCGUUGACAAAGCUGCAAGCAGCGACCUCACAGGUCGAGCACUUUGUUCUGAACGGGCUCGUUAUCAACAGGAAGUUGAAUUUUAAAACAAUAAAUGUCCAUCCUUGUGGUACCAGACUGUAUUUCCAUUUCUCGUACUCGCACUUCAGACACACUUAAGUGCUGACAGUCACCUGUGUCACAGCGCUGCAAUAACAAACAAUCCUCUCUGUUCAACUCCCAUGAAAUUACCGUUCGGGGAGAUGUUUUACUUUAUUAAAAAAGGUGUAUAAUGAUACUGCGGUAAACAUUUUUUUAAUGUAGAAAUAUAUUUUCACUACGCAGAGGCAGAACAUGUAUAACAGUCAUAUGACAGUUCAGCACCUGCCGACAGUAUGAGGUCCCACAAACGGUGCAGUGGGUCGACACACAUUGGCUGGAUUUUACCAAAACAAUGAAGAUCCCACUGUCAUCCACAGUGUGCAGAUUGUAAAGUGUAAUAAUUACACUGAAUGUGAUGAUGCACAGCACAUAAACACUUCCACAGCACACAAAAUGCACUUUGUGUACUUAAAGAAAAAAGGGGAAAACACACACACACACACACACGCAUCUGCAGCUUACAGUGAAAAUGCACGUCUGGUGAUGUUAGGAGGGAGUGCGGCAGAUAUCCUAAAGCCCGUCUCGUAGCCUGGGCUCUUGGCACUCGCCGCUGCCUCUCAGCGUUUUCGCUUGAUUAAAAAAGCGCCCAGGAGUUCGUAAGCGUGUGGUAGGUGCGAGCGCACACCCUGACAGCUUAACAUACUGAUUAUUCAAGCCUCUUAGGCUAAGCCACGGCACUCGAGUGAUGAACGUCAGCUCCCCUCUCUUCCACGCACAGUCUCGAUUUCUCCCUCCCUUUUAUUCUUCGUUUCGAAAGAGUGGAAAGCCAGUGACAGCUUGCAGAAAGCAAACCUGUUGUCUGGGAAGCGGAGGGGAUCAGUGACACGGUGAUUCAUACAGCACCGGGGCUUUAUUUAGACAACCCUCCCCUCCCCCCGGUGUAGGGUCCUUGCCCCCAACUUGUAUGGAGGGCCGGGCUGGGUAUUGUCCUACAGCGUAGACCACAGGACAAGAGGUUUAAUGCAUUGGUGAUUGUCCUCUAUACUCUGAUGUCCCCCUGCAAAGGUCACAUUAUCACUGCUGUUUUGUCAUUAUAACUAAUUGUACCCUUUUUCCGGGACGCCUAAUGUGUAGGAUCUGGUGUCAUCCUAGAUGAUGUAUUUCACCCUCCCUGCUCUGUGGUUACUGCACAAGGGCACAAUGCACAGUAUUGGCAUCACAGUUUCUGCAUAACUGUCCCCUUUGAUUUUCUGCAGCGAGAAGGUUUAAACUCAUGCAUAUUCAUGUUCUCAUUAAAAAGUCGUUGUAGACAUAUAGACACAUUCGUGUAACGGUUACGCUGAAUUGCACAGGGAUGUGUGUACGCGGUGUGUGCCAGUUGGUGGUUCUGCCAGUAAAAGCCGUCCCUUUCUGUGUAGGCUGUGGGUUCUCUGAGCUCGCUGGCAAAGGCCGGGGCCACUACCGCCGAGUCACACCUGUACAACAGAUCGGCCCCGGCUGGAGGCCGAGGCAAGAACCGACACAGCAGACGCUCACCUCGUGAUUCAACUCCUGAAGUGGACACGCUCAAUGGAAGGGAGGAUAAAAGGCCACUUCAACAGCAUUGCAUCCGUCACAGUAAAAAAGGAUAUGAAAAAUAAGAUGUCUGUCAGAUCUCUCAGUAUGUUGUUCUCUUGUUAUGUUCUACACGUUUGCAUAAAUAAAAUAAACACUUUGGUUAGCUAGUGUCAAUUAUUUAAGGCAGCAGGACAAAGCCCUUCAAAACACUAUUACAAAGUGCUUUACUGGUAACAAAAUCCUAUUUAGGUGUCAUUAAGGUCGGAUAUGAGGGAACAGCCUGUGCAGGGAUUCAGCAGGUUACCACAUUCAGAUGCAAGACUCAAGACUGGAAGUGUUUUGAUCAGUGGCCACUGGGGGGGCCGGGGGGGGUACUUUUUCAAAUAUGAUAUCAGAGCAAAAUCAAUGCUGUUCCAUCAAAAACGCAUUACUAUUACCAUUGCGCAUUGAAGAUGUUACCAUGUUAUUUACUGCUUUUUUUGUGUUGGAACAUUUUUAAAUAUAGUAAUGUUAACGGUAAUAGUAAUGCGUUUUAGAUACCUACCUUCAUUAUUUGAUGGUAAAUCAUACUGGGAUGUUUGCUGAAAUCGAUGACCGUACCUGGAAAAUAUUCCACCGGCUGCCAUUGAUUUCCUGAUUGCCUCUCAACAUUUCACCGACGAUCUUUGUUAAAGAGAGUGAGUUUAAGAGGAUGAGUUUUCAUUAUCUAUGAUGCGGUUGUCAGGCUGGUGAACAAGCCCGGGCAACCAGUCUGUCAACGCUGCCGUUCAAUCUCCUUCAUGUGUCUCUUCUUUCUCAUUUUCUCCUCCGGUCUCAGAGGAGAAACGAUGCCAUAGCCGUGCUCUCUGUUUCCCUGACACACUUUGCCUGAACGCUCUCUUCAUUCAUUUAUACCCUUUUUAUUUUCAUGCUUUCAUACUUUACGCCAUGCGCUGAGCAGGAUGCCAAGUCAGCGAGAACUCAGCCGAGUGCGCUUAAGCAGAUGUAGAAAAGGAGGCGAGCUUGAGAAAACCCUUCCGUGGGUUUCUGCCGCUGGGGUGCGUUCAGCAUCUUAGGUGGUGGGUUUGAUGGUUUGUAUGUGUGUGUCAGGGUGGAGGUGGGGGGGGGGGGGGUUCAGCAUCUUAGGUGGUGGGUUUGAUGGUUUGUAUGUGUGUGUCAGGGUGGAGGUGGGGGAGGGGGUUCAGCAUCUUAGGUGGUGUAUUUGAUGGGUUUGUAUGUGUGUGUCAGGGUGGAGGGUUCAGCAUCUUAGGUGGUGUAUUUGAUGGGUUUGUAUGUGUGUGUCAUGGUGGAGGUGGGGGGGGGUUCAGCAUCUUAGGUGGUGUAUUUGAUGGGUUUGUAUGUGUGUGUCAUGGUGGAGGUGGGGGAGGGGGUUCAGCAUCUUAGGUGGUGGGUUUGAUGGGUUUGUAUAUGUGUGUCAUGGUGGAGGUGGGGGAGGGGGUUCAGCAUCUUAGGUGGUGGGUUUGAUGGGUUUGUAUGUGUGUGUCAGGGUGGAGGGUUCAGCAUCUUAGGUGGUGUAUUUGAUGGGUUUGUAUGUGUGUGUCAUGGUGGAGGUGGGGGGGGGUUCAGCAUCUUAGGUGGUGUAUUUGAUGGGUUUGUAUGUGUGUGUCAGGGUGGAGGUGGGGGUUCAGCAUCUUAGGUGGUGUAUUUGAUGGGUUUGUAUGUGUGUGUCAGGGUGGAGGUUGGGGGGGGGGGGGGGGGGGUCAGCAUCUUAGGUGGUGUAUUUGAUGGGUUUGUAUGUGUGUGUCAGGGUGGAGGUGGGGGGAUUCUGCUGUAAGGAAAUGGGGGCAGCUUAAAAUCCCAUUAGCCCGGGCUGCGCUUUUCCACCCACAACCUAAUUCAUUAAUAACUAAAAAUCUCAGAGACCCCCCCUAGGGGCCACAUUUAACAAUUACAUCAUGUACUACUAGGAGUAGUAUUUGAACCGGAUGCAUCAAAAUGCUGAAAGUGUACUUUGACUCUUAUUAAAUGAGCUGUCAAACGUCACCUUUCGUCAGAGCUCCUUCUCGCUGUCUGUCUUUUCGUCCCACAUUAGGUAAGAGGGAAUGCUCUUAACCCUCCCUCCCUGCUCUAUUAUUCAUUUAAUGGAAGACUGAAUCUGUGUCAGUGCAGCGGCUCACACAUUGUUUUAGACCUCGUGAGCUACAGUGGCGUUCCUUCUCACCUGCCUUUGCUUUGUUCUUUUUUCUUGACGUGACAUACGCUUGUCCUCUUAUGUCCUCUCUUUGUGUGAUCCCUUGGUGACAUUAGUGACAUUGUUAUAUCGAUGCUUCGAAUACUGAUGCUUGGUCCAGCGUCUACGUAACCCUCUGUGUCCUCAAUGUCCUAUGUGUCAGGGACCAUGUGUGUAAUAUAAACGUGUUAAUGCACAGGAGGUUUUAAAAAUGAAAAUAUUUAUUUCCAGGACAAUAGAUGCAUACAAUAAACGGACUUUGUUAAGUUCACGUGCCUCAUGAUUCACAAUGAUUCAAGGGACUAACUACGUUAGCAAGUUGACACAAUGUCAAAGUUGACAUUGUGUUAGUUUUGCACAGGACACCUGGAGAGGUUUCCUAGACAAAAGUCCUGGGAAUAUUUGACCAAUCCAACCUCCCCCACAUCCGCGUAGUGUGGAUUGUCUCGUACUAUUGUUUAAUAAUGGUUUCAGUCCGCGUACAUCCACAUACUAAAGUCGUGGAAGAGCACAAGGCGAGCUGCAUUAUUUGAUGGCUCGGGAUUGAGCACGGAUUGGAAUUGACGCUGUCACACCAAGUGGAUCAAAUUAACUGCAGGAACAUCCUCUUGAUUCCUUUUUUUAUACAUUUUUUACGGCUCAACGUGAGCUGAGCCACAAUCUGUUUCCCUGCAGGAGAAUCAAAAGAGGGAGCAGACUAUCUAACCAGCAUGGUGUGAUCUACCCGCACACAGAUUUGAUGGGACUUGAUCCAUUAGCUAAUUUGCUUUCGUCGUUCUGCAAGAGGCAGUAUUGGCGCGUUUCCACCGAGCGGUAUGGUACGGUACAGUACAGGUCGGUACGGGUCGGGUCUGUUAACCAUGAUUUGGCGAGCGUUUCCACCGCCAACAGUACACUUACUUGAUAGGCGUGGUGUAUUCCAGAAAGUAGUGAUAACGUCACUUCAUAGGCGUGGUAUAUCACGGAAAGUAGAUUGACGUCAUUCGAUCGCGCAAAAGCUGAAAGCUUACACAUACGGCCGAUCCUGUUCUUGCUUCUCGGUAUGCGGCUGCUUCUCACAUGGAGAC